This 497-nucleotide ribosomal RNA is filed under the name uncultured bacterium. RNAcentral describes it as "partial 16S ribosomal RNA". It matches the Rfam family "Bacterial small subunit ribosomal RNA", at positions 28 to 507 of the family's 1533-position model. The record is from RNAcentral.
GAUGAACGCUGGCGGCGUGCCUAAUACAUGCAAGUCGAGCGAACGGACGAGAAGCUUGCUUCUCUGAUGUUAGCGGCGGACGGGUGAGUAACACGUGGAUAACCUACCUAUAAGACUGGGAUAACUUCGGGAAACCGGAGCUAAUACCGGAUAAUAUUUUGAACCGCAUGGUUCAAAAGUGAAAGACGGUCUUGCUGUCACUUAUAGAUGGAUCCGCGCUGCAUUAGCUAGUUGGUAAGGUAACGGCUUACCAAGGCAACGAUGCAUAGCCGACCUGAGAGGGUGAUCGACCACCCUGGAGCGGGGACACGGUCCAGACUCCUACGGGAGGAAGCAGUAGGGAAUCUUCCGCAAUGGGCGAAAGCCUGACGGAGCAGCGCCGCGUGAGUGAUGAAGGUCUUCGGAUCGUAAAACUCUGUUAUUAGGGAAGAACAUAUGUGUAAGUAACUGUGCACAUCAUGGCGGUACCUAAUCAGAAAGCCACGGCUAACUACGUG